Molecule: unclassified non-coding RNA, 108 nt
Organism: Cebus imitator (Panamanian white-faced capuchin)
Lineage: Eukaryota; Metazoa; Chordata; Mammalia; Primates; Cebidae
Rfam family: Y RNA
About the family: Y RNAs are components of the Ro ribonucleoprotein particle (Ro RNP), in association with Ro60 and La proteins. The Y RNAs and Ro60 and La proteins are well conserved, but the function of the Ro RNP is not known.
Source: Ensembl
GACUAGUCUGAAGGUAGUGAGUUAUCUCCUUUGUUGGUUCACAGUCAAAGAUUGAAAUCCUUGGUCUACUUUUCCCCACUUCUCACUACUGCACUUGACUAGUCUUAA